GGGCCGCUGGUGAAACGGUAUCACGGUUGGGUAGCCACCUGACAGUUUGGGGUUCGACUCCCCAGCGGUCCG
Molecule: transfer RNA, 72 nt
Filed under: Patescibacteria group bacterium
Lineage: Bacteria
Description: tRNA-Ala
Source: RNAcentral